This 373-nucleotide long non-coding RNA is filed under the name Neodiprion pinetum (white pine sawfly). RNAcentral's name for it is "uncharacterized LOC124223929, transcript variant X1". Lineage: Eukaryota; Metazoa; Arthropoda; Insecta; Hymenoptera; Diprionidae. The record is from RNAcentral.
AUAUAACUCGGGUCCAGAACGGACGCAUUUUCAUCGAUUGUCACAUUUCUAUUGCGAUUUGCAGAUUUCAUUUAUGAUUGACUAGGAGCUUCGCCUCUGCGCACUUCGCACCUCACUCUUGUGUGCUCGAUGUGACUCAACAUGUUCUAGCCUUCGGGGUGACACAAUAAUCUUCUGUGUUUUUACCACAUUUUUCUAAUGUGCUGUUUUCAACUAUCUUGAGGAGACGAAGAACGGAAAGGACCGAUCUUGCAGAAAAUGGGCCACUUUUACUGGUUAGGUACUGGUAUCCUACUGUGAGUAAUAGUACUUGCAAUUUUCUGAUUUCUAUUAAUGCAGAGUACGUAAAUAUACGAUUUUUUGAAAAAAAUAU